UAGCUCUGGUUUUUCUUCAGUCACGUGUAAAUCUUUUGCCUUUUAUUAAAGAUUUCCAUGGAGAGGAAAGUCAAUGAGUUUGAUGUAUUUUUGUGUGUGUUGUUCUGGCAAAGCU
Hemibagrus wyckioides is the source of this 115-nucleotide small nuclear RNA. RefSeq annotates it as U5 spliceosomal RNA. The transcript has a single exon. NCBI's taxonomy places the organism in Eukaryota, Metazoa, Chordata, Actinopteri, Siluriformes, Bagridae. The record is from RefSeq and is a predicted model, not a curated record.